GGUCGUGGCUCAACUGGUAGAGUGCUCGCCUGACACACGUGAAGUACUGGGUUCGAUUCUCAGCACCA
Molecule: transfer RNA, 68 nt
Filed under: Ictidomys tridecemlineatus (thirteen-lined ground squirrel)
Lineage: Eukaryota; Metazoa; Chordata; Mammalia; Rodentia; Sciuridae
Description: Spermophilus tridecemlineatus (thirteen-lined ground squirrel) tRNA
Rfam family: tRNA
About the family: Transfer RNA (tRNA) molecules are approximately 80 nucleotides in length. Their secondary structure includes four short double-helical elements and three loops (D, anti-codon, and T loops).
Source: Rfam by way of RNAcentral